UUAAGCGACUAAGCGUACACGGUGGAUGCCCUGGCAGUCAGAGGCGAUGAAGGACGUGCUAAUCUGCGAUAAGCGUCGGUAAGGUGAUAUGAACCGUUAUAACCGGCGAUUUCCGAAUGGGGAAACCCAGUGUGAUUCGUCACACUAUCAUUAACUGAAUCCAUAGGUUAAUGAGGCGAACCGGGGGAACUGAAACAUCUAAGUACCCCGAGGAAAAGAAAUCAACCGAGAUUCCCCCAGUAGCGGCGAGCGAACGGGGAGGAGCCCAGAGCCUGAAUCAGUGUGUGUGUUAGUGGAAGCGUCUGGAAAGGCGCGCGAUACAGGGUGACAGCCCCGUACACAAAAAUGCACAUGCUGUGAGCUCGAUGAGUAGGGCGGGACACGUGGUAUCCUGUCUGAAUAUGGGGGGACCAUCCUCCAAGGCUAAAUACUCCUGACUGACCGAUAGUGAACCAGUACCGUGAGGGAAAGGCGAAAAGAACCCCGGCGAGGGGAGUGAAAAAGAACCUGAAACCGUGUACGUACAAGCAGUGGGAGCCUCUUAAUGGGGUGACUGCGUACCUUUUGUAUAAUGGGUCAGCGACUUAUAUUCUGUAGCAAGGUUAACCGAAUAGGGGAGCCGAAGGGAAACCGAGUCUUAACUGGGCGUUAAGUUGCAGGGUAUAGACCCGAAACCCGGUGAUCUAGCCAUGGGCAGGUUGAAGGUUGGGUAACACUAACUGGAGGACCGAACCGACUAAUGUUGAAAAAUUAGCGGAUGACUUGUGGCUGGGGGUGAAAGGCCAAUCAAACCGGGAGAUAGCUGGUUCUCCCCGAAAGCUAUUUAGGUAGCGCCUCGUGAAUUCAUCUCCGGGGGUAGAGCACUGUUUCGGCAAGGGGGUCAUCCCGACUUACCAACCCGAUGCAAACUGCGAAUACCGGAGAAUGUUAUCACGGGAGACACACGGCGGGUGCUAACGUCCGUCGUGAAGAGGGAAACAACCCAGACCGCCAGCUAAGGUCCCAAAGUCAUGGUUAAGUGGGAAACGAUGUGGGAAGGCCCAGACAGCCAGGAUGUUGGCUUAGAAGCAGCCAUCAUUUAAAGAAAGCGUAAUAGCUCACUGGUCGAGUCGGCCUGCGCGGAAGAUGUAACGGGGCUAAACCAUGCACCGAAGCUGCGGCAGCGACACUAUGUGUUGUUGGGUAGGGGAGCGUUCUGUAAGCCUGUGAAGGUGGCCUGUGAGGGUUGCUGGAGGUAUCAGAAGUGCGAAUGCUGACAUAAGUAACGAUAAAGCGGGUGAAAAGCCCGCUCGCCGGAAGACCAAGGGUUCCUGUCCAACGUUAAUCGGGGCAGGGUGAGUCGACCCCUAAGGCGAGGCCGAAAGGCGUAGUCGAUGGGAAACAGGUUAAUAUUCCUGUACUUGGUGUUACUGCGAAGGGGGACGGAGAAGGCUAUGUUGGCCGGGCGACGGUUGUCCCGGUUUAAGCGUGUAGGCUGGUUUUCCAGGCAAAUCCGGAAAACCAAGGCUGAGGCGUGAUGACGAGGCACUACGGUGCUGAAGUGACAAAUGCCCUGCUUCCAGGAAAAGCCUCUAAGCAUCAGGUAACAUCAAAUCGUACCCCAAACCGACACAGGUGGUCAGGUAGAGAAUACCAAGGCGCUUGAGAGAACUCGGGUGAAGGAACUAGGCAAAAUGGUGCCGUAACUUCGGGAGAAGGCACGCUGAUAUGUAGGUGAAGCGACUUGCUCGUGGAGCUGAAAUCAGUCGAAGAUACCAGCUGGCUGCAACUGUUUAUUAAAAACACAGCACUGUGCAAACACGAAAGUGGACGUAUACGGUGUGACGCCUGCCCGGUGCCGGAAGGUUAAUUGAUGGGGUUAGCGGUAACGCGAAGCUCUUGAUCGAAGCCCCGGUAAACGGCGGCCGUAACUAUAACGGUCCUAAGGUAGCGAAAUUCCUUGUCGGGUAAGUUCCGACCUGCACGAAUGGCGUAAUGAUGGCCAGGCUGUCUCCACCCGAGACUCAGUGAAAUUGAACUCGCUGUGAAGAUGCAGUGUACCCGCGGCAAGACGGAAAGACCCCGUGAACCUUUACUAUAGCUUGACACUGAACAUUGAGCCUUGAUGUGUAGGAUAGGUGGGAGGCUUUGAAGUGUGGACGCCAGUCUGCAUGGAGCCGACCUUGAAAUACCACCCUUUAAUGUUUGAUGUUCUAACGUUGGCCCCUAAUCGGGGUUGCGGACAGUGUCUGGUGGGUAGUUUGACUGGGGCGGUCUCCUCCUAAAGAGUAACGGAGGAGCACGAAGGUUGGCUAAUCCUGGUCGGACAUCAGGAGGUUAGUGCAAUGGCAUAAGCCAGCUUGACUGCGAGCGUGACGGCGCGAGCAGGUGCGAAAGCAGGUCAUAGUGAUCCGGUGGUUCUGAAUGGAAGGGCCAUCGCUCAACGGAUAAAAGGUACUCCGGGGAUAACAGGCUGAUACCGCCCAAGAGUUCAUAUCGACGGCGGUGUUUGGCACCUCGAUGUCGGCUCAUCACAUCCUGGGGCUGAAGUAGGUCCCAAGGGUAUGGCUGUUCGCCAUUUAAAGUGGUACGCGAGCUGGGUUUAGAACGUCGUGAGACAGUUCGGUCCCUAUCUGCCGUGGGCGCUGGAGAACUGAGGGGGGCUGCUCCUAGUACGAGAGGACCGGAGUGGACGUAUCACUGGUGUUCGGGUUGUCAUGCCAAUGGCACUGCCCGGUAGCUAAAUGCGGAAGAGAUAAGUGCUGAAAGCAUCUAAGCACGAAACUUGCCCCGAGAUGAGUUCUCCCUGAGACUUAGAGUCUCCUGAAGGAACGUUGAAGACGACGACGUUGAUAGGCCGGGUGUGUAAGCGCAGCGAUGCGUUGAGCUAACCGGUACUAAUGAACCGUGAGGCUUAACCU
Molecule: ribosomal RNA, 2900 nt
Filed under: Escherichia coli
Lineage: Bacteria; Pseudomonadati; Pseudomonadota; Gammaproteobacteria; Enterobacterales; Enterobacteriaceae
Description: 23S ribosomal RNA
Rfam family: Bacterial large subunit ribosomal RNA
Source: RNAcentral